UGUUAUCUCAAUAAGCCACUGACCAUCGCCGCUCAGUGCGCCACACACCAGGCCAUUGUUAGUUAGCAGAACAGGAAAGCGUUUCAACUUAUCUGAAUAAGACACUGCUCCGCGCAGGUCGGGGUAUCCGGGCCUCGGUAAAACUUAGUAUACCGCUGGAAGUCACGACUCUCUCGGUAAAUGCAUCCUCUCAGUACCAGAAAUGUAUAAAGAUGCUCAUUCGGUGCAAGGUAGUCAUCACUCGAGAUCAUGCCAGAAACCUCUUCAGCUUCGCUCCUCACUAACGCUCAGAUCCAUCCCGAGGGUCAGAACGCAAGCUCCAACCCACAACAUGGCAUACGCUUCUUUGACCUCACAGGUGUGGAGCAAGAAAAUGUACUUUUAACACCGUUCAACUACGGUUUUUAAAUGGGAACGUUCUAUAAGAUAACGAAGGAGUCCUCAGAAGAACUUGAAGUGAAGCACAUCUCCCUCAGUCGGGGAAAAGUUACAGAAAUCAUCUUUUUCUUUCGCGGCUGCAAAAUCCUUUUUGCAAAAUUAAGAUUGGUUUGCUUUUCUACAUUGAAACGUUUUACAACAUUUUUAAAUGUGCAUACUGUU
Molecule: long non-coding RNA, 600 nt
Organism: Fundulus heteroclitus (mummichog)
Lineage: Eukaryota; Metazoa; Chordata; Actinopteri; Cyprinodontiformes; Fundulidae
Exons: 4
Source: RefSeq, a predicted model, not a curated record